Molecule: ribosomal RNA, 532 nt
Filed under: fungal sp. E14419A
Lineage: Eukaryota; Fungi
Description: eukaryotic LSU rRNA
Rfam family: 5.8S ribosomal RNA (bases 157-310)
Source: RNAcentral
ACCUGCGGAAGGAUCAUUACCGAGUUUUCGGGCUUCGGCUCGACUCUCCCACCCUUUGUGAACGUACCUCUGUUGCUUUGGCGGCUCCGGCCGCCAAAGGACCUCCAAACUCCAGUCAGUAAACGCAGACGUCUGAUAAACAAGUUAAUAAACUAAAACUUUCAACAACGGAUCUCUUGGUUCUGGCAUCGAUGAAGAACGCAGCGAAAUGCGAUAAGUAAUGUGAAUUGCAGAAUUCAGUGAAUCAUCGAAUCUUUGAACGCACAUUGCGCCCCUUGGUAUUCCGGGGGGCAUGCCUGUUCGAGCGUCAUUACAACCCUCAAGCUCUGCUUGGAAUUGGGCACCGUCCUCACUGCGGACGCGCCUCAAAGACCUCGGCGGUGGCUGUUCAGCCCUCAAGCGUAGUAGAAUACACCUCGCUUUGGAGUGGUUGGCGUCGCCCGCCGGACGAACCUUCUGAACUUUUCUCAAGGUUGACCUCGGAUCAGGUAGGGAUACCCGCUGAACUUAAGCAUAUCAAUAAGCGGAGGAA